RNAcentral lists this small nucleolar RNA (90 nucleotides) under Trichobilharzia regenti. RNAcentral's name for it is "Small nucleolar RNA U3". The record is from Rfam by way of RNAcentral. Lineage: Eukaryota; Metazoa; Platyhelminthes; Trematoda; Strigeidida; Schistosomatidae.
AAGACCGUACUUCUAGGGAUCAGUCCUAUAGUACGUAUCGCCAGGACGUCAAACAAACUUGACCCUGGCUAUUUGUGCGUCGGUGGCACA